AUUGAACGCUGGCGGCAGGCCUAACAUAUGCAAGUCGAGCGGAUGAAGGGAGCUUGCUCCUGGAUUCAGCGGCGGACGGGUGAGUAAUGCCUAGGAAUCUGCCUGGUAGUGGGGGAUAACGUCCGGAAACGGGCGCUAAUACCGCAUACGUCCUGAGGGAGAAAGUGGGGGAUCUUCGGACCUCACGCUAUCAGAUGAGCCUAGGUCGGAUUAGCUAGUUGGUGGGGUAAAGGCCUACCAAGGCGACGAUCCGUAACUGGUCUGAGAGGAUGAUCAGCCACACUGGAACUGAGACACGGUCCAGACUCCUACGGGAGGCAGCAGUGGGGAAUAUUGGACAAUGGGCGAAAGCCUGAUCCAGCCAUGCCGCGUGUGUGAAGAAGGUCUUCGGAUUGUAAAGCACUUUAAGUUGGGAGGAAGGGCAGUAAGUUAAUACCUUGCUGUUUUGACGUUACCAACAGAAUAAGCACCGGCUAACUUCGUG
Molecule: ribosomal RNA, 484 nt
Filed under: uncultured bacterium
Lineage: Bacteria
Description: partial 16S ribosomal RNA
Rfam family: Bacterial small subunit ribosomal RNA
Source: RNAcentral